GGCGGGAUAGCUCAGUUGGUCAGAGCAGGGGAAUCAUAAUCCCAAGGUCGCUGGUUCAAAUCCAGUUCCCGCUACCA
RNAcentral lists this transfer RNA (77 nucleotides) under Aliidongia dinghuensis. RNAcentral's name for it is "tRNA-Met". It matches the Rfam family "tRNA". Rfam says of the family: Transfer RNA (tRNA) molecules are approximately 80 nucleotides in length. The record is from RNAcentral. RNAcentral also lists the same sequence under 2 other names. Lineage: Bacteria; Pseudomonadati; Pseudomonadota; Alphaproteobacteria; Rhodospirillales; Dongiaceae.